UGGGGAAUUUUGCGCAAUGGGCGAAAGCCUGACGCAGCAACGCCGCGUGUGUGAUGAAGGUCUUCGGAUUGUAAAGCACUUUCGACCGGGACGAAACACCCUCCGUCAAUACCGGAGGGCUUGACGGUACCGGGAGAAGAAGCACCGGCUAACUCUGUGCCAGCAGCCGCGGUAAUACAGAGGGUGCAAGCGUUGUUCGGAAUUAUUGGGCGUAAAGCGCGUGUAGGCGGCAGUGCAAGUCGGGUGUGAAAGCCCUCGGCUCAACCGAGGAAGUGCGCCCGAAACUGCAUUGCUUGAGUACCGGAGAGGGUGGCGGAAUUCCCCAAGUAGAGGUGAAAUUCGUAGAUAUGGGGAGGAACACCUGUGGCGAAGGCGGCCACCUGGACGGAUACUGACGCUGAGACGCGAAAGCGUGGGUAGCAAACAGG
This 428-nucleotide ribosomal RNA is filed under the name uncultured bacterium. RNAcentral describes it as "bacterial SSU rRNA". It matches the Rfam family "Bacterial small subunit ribosomal RNA", at positions 355 to 776 of the family's 1533-position model. The record is from RNAcentral.